GCGUAGAAGCUUCUGAUGGUGGGUCUGUUCGCCCUUUAAAAUCUAACAUGAGCUGAGUUCAGAACGGCGUGAGCUAGUUCAGUUUCUAUCCUCUUUUUGAAAUGAGCUAAUUUUGUACGAAAGGACUUUUUCGCUAAAGCAAUGCUUUGUCACAAAACUGUGGUUGCAUAAAUAAUAGGGUAUAAUAGGUUGAUUAGUCUAUAGGAAGGGUUA
This 213-nucleotide ribosomal RNA is filed under the name Mytilus edulis (blue mussel). RNAcentral describes it as "partial 16S ribosomal RNA". The stretch from base 1 to 94 matches the Rfam family "Bacterial large subunit ribosomal RNA", at positions 2553 to 2646 of the family's 2925-position model. Lineage: Eukaryota; Metazoa; Mollusca; Bivalvia; Mytilida; Mytilidae. The record is from RNAcentral.